This 291-nucleotide unclassified non-coding RNA is filed under the name Hevea brasiliensis (rubber tree). Lineage: Eukaryota; Viridiplantae; Streptophyta; Magnoliopsida; Malpighiales; Euphorbiaceae. The record is from RNAcentral.
UGCAAAUAACAAGCUGAAGUAUCAGUCUUUCUUCUCUUUAUUUUUCCUUUGCACAGAGAGAAGGGGCAAAGAAGGAAGGGAUUUCUGCUACUCGAAGCAUAGAUGUCACACACCUAUAGGUUCAGUAGCUUUCUUCAGCCACGCCUUCUCAGAUUCAUCCAAAUAUGGAGCCAGAACGUCCCUACAUCUUGAAUGAUAGGUGUUCAGCCAAUCAAUCUCAUCGGGCAUUAGGAGGCUCACAUCAAUUAACUUUGUCUGAUACGGUGCCCAUGUUAUGUGCUCAAAUGAUAA